AAUCGAACCCGGAGAUAGCUGGUUCUCCCCGAAAUAGCUUUAGGGCUAGCGUCGGAAAGAACCUUAGUGAAGGUAGAGCACUGAAUGUGUGAUGGCCCCAUCCCGGGGUACUGAAUACAAUCAAACUGCGAAUGUCAUUAAGGAUGUCCGGCAGUCAGACUGUGAGUGAUAAGGUCCAUGGUCAAGAGGGAAACAGCCCAGACCGCCAGUUAAGGUCCCAAAAUACAGGCUAAGUGGAAAAGGAUGUGGGGAUGCCCAGACAACUAGGAGGUUGGCUCAGAAGCAGCCAUCCUUUAAAGAGUGCGUAACAGCUCACUAGUCGAGUGACCCUGCGCCGAAAAUGUACCGGGGCUAAGCCUGAUACCGAAACUGCGGAUUGUAGGAAACUAUAGUGGUAGGGGAGCGUUGUAUACGAGUAGAAGCCGUACCGUGAGGAGCGGUGGAUUGUAUAGAAGUGAGAAUGCCGGUGUGAGUAGCGAGAUGUAGGUGAGAAUCCUACACACCGAAAGCCCAAGGAUUCCAGGGGAAGGUUCGUCCGCCCUGGGUAAGUCGGGACCUAACGCGAGGCCGAAAGGCGUAGUGGAUGGAAAGCAGGCGAAAGAUUCCUGCACCCGUAUAUGGAGCGAAGGAGUGACGGAGACGGAUAGUGUGACCCUCUUAAUGGAUUGAGGGCGAAGCGAAGCGGCAGGUUACCAGGCAAAUCCGGUAACCAAAAGGCUAGAGCGUGACAGGUAAGCGAAAUCUUCGGAAAGUAGCGAAGCACAUGAUGACGGCUUCCAGGAAAAGCUUCUGGCAAUGCAUAUGCGGCCCGUACCAAAACCGACACAGGUGGGCAGGGAGAGAAUCCCGAGGUGAGCGAGAGAACUGUUGCCAAGGAACUCGGCAAAAUGACUCCGUAAGUUAGCGAGAAGGAGUGCUUAAGCAAUUAAGCCGCAGUGAAGAGGCCCAAGCGACUGUUUAACUAAAACACAGCUCUCUGCGAAGUCGCAAGACGAAGUAUAGGGGGUGACACCUGCCCGGUGCUGGAAGGUUAAGAGGAUCUGUUAAGAGCGAUCUGAAGCAGUGAUCCGAAGCCCCAGUGAACGGCGGCCGUAACUAUAACGGUCCUAAGGUAGCGAAAUUCCUUGUCAGGUAAGUUCUGACCCGCACGAAAGGUGUAACGAUUUGGGCGCUGUCUCGGCAGCAGACUCGGUGAAAUCUUAGUACCUGUGAAAAUGCAGGUUACCCGCAACUAGACGGAAAGACCCCAUGGAGCUUUACUGCAGCCUGAUAUUGAAUUCUGGUCAUACAUGUACAGGAUAGGUGGGAGACAAAGAGACGUGCACGCCAGUGUACGAGGAGUCGCCGUUGGGAUACCACUCUUGUGUGACCGGGGUUCUAACCUGGUAUCGAGAACAGGUACGGGGAGAGUGUCAGGUGGGCAGUUUGACUGGGGCGGUCGCCUCCCAAAGAGUAACGGAGGCGCCCAAAGGUACGCUCAGAUUGGAUGGAAACCAAUCGGCGAGUGCAAUUGCAGAAGCGUGCUUGACUGUGAGACUUACAAGUCGAACAGGGACGAAAGUCGGGAAUAGUGAUCCGGCGGUGCCGAAUGGAAGGGCCGUCGCUCAACGGAUAAAAGCUACCCUGGGGAUAACAGGCUGAUCUCCCCCAAGAGUCCACAUCGACGGGGAGGUUUGGCACCUCGAUGUCGGCUCAUCACAUCCUGGGGCUGUAUUCGGUCCCAAGGGUUCGGCUGUUCGCCGAUUAAAGUGGCACGCGAGCUGGGUUCAGAACGUCGUGAGACAGUUCGGUCCCUAUCUGUUGUGGGCGAAGGAGAUCUGCGGAGAGCUGUCCUCAGUACGAGAGGACCGGGAUGGACCUACCGCUGGUGCACCGGUUGUUCCGCCAGGGGCAUAGCCGGGUAGCUAAGUAGGGAAAGGAUAAGCGCUGAAAGCAUCUAAGCACGAAGCCUACUCCAAGAUGAGAUCUCCCAUUCGCAAGAAGUAAGACCCCUUAAAGACGAUAAGGUAGAUAGGCCAGGGAUGGAAGUGCAGUGAUGUACGGAGUUGACUGGUACUAAUCGGUCGAGGACUUAAUC
RNAcentral lists this ribosomal RNA (2077 nucleotides) under human gut metagenome. RNAcentral describes it as "bacterial LSU rRNA". It matches the Rfam family "Bacterial large subunit ribosomal RNA", at positions 831 to 2925 of the family's 2925-position model. The record is from RNAcentral.